GGCGAGAUGGCCGAGCGGUCUAAGGCGCUGGUUUUGGGCACCAGUCUCCGGAGGCGUCGGUUCCAAUCCCACUCUCCUCA
RNAcentral lists this transfer RNA (80 nucleotides) under Toxocara canis (dog roundworm). It matches the Rfam family "tRNA". From Rfam's summary of the family: Transfer RNA (tRNA) molecules are approximately 80 nucleotides in length. Their secondary structure includes four short double-helical elements and three loops (D, anti-codon, and T loops). The record is from Rfam by way of RNAcentral. Lineage: Eukaryota; Metazoa; Nematoda; Chromadorea; Rhabditida; Toxocaridae.